Molecule: transfer RNA, 77 nt
Filed under: Halomonas elongata
Lineage: Bacteria; Pseudomonadati; Pseudomonadota; Gammaproteobacteria; Oceanospirillales; Halomonadaceae
Also listed under: 13 other names
Description: tRNA-Pro
Rfam family: tRNA
About the family: Transfer RNA (tRNA) molecules are approximately 80 nucleotides in length. Their secondary structure includes four short double-helical elements and three loops (D, anti-codon, and T loops).
Source: RNAcentral
CGGAGCGUGGCGCAGCUUGGUAGCGCGUUGCAAUGGGGUUGCAAAGGUCGCUGGUUCGAAUCCAGUCGCUCCGACCA